Molecule: non-coding RNA, 1367 nt
Organism: Danio rerio (zebrafish)
Lineage: Eukaryota; Metazoa; Chordata; Actinopteri; Cypriniformes; Danionidae
Source: RefSeq, a predicted model, not a curated record
GUUAUGAGUGGUUGCUAGGCAGUUUUUAAGGCGUUGCUAAGUGGUUGCUAGAGCGGUGUGAUUUCUUGCGGUUGGUAGAGUUAGGGUGUUCUUAAUGGUUGCUAUGUAGUUGCUAAGGUAUUGUAUGGGUGUUCUGGGUGAUUUAAGUAUCUAGUUGUUGGGUUGUUGCUAGGUAUUUUGUAAAUGGUUGCUAUGUAGUUGCUAAGGUAUUGUUAGGAUGUUCUGAGUGGUUUCUAGGCAUUUGUUGAGGCAUUGCUAUCUAGUUGUUGGGUUGUUCUAGGGUGCUCGGCGGUUGCUAAGGCGUUUCUAAAUGGUUGCUAGCGUGCUGUGAGAGGUUGCUAAGGGGAUAUAGGACAGCAUGGUGAAACGCCGGCCUGUAAAUGUUCCCCUGAUACUGUGCAGCUGCUGAUACGCGCGGAUUGAUCUGAGUAAUGAUCUUCACAGCGUGAUCAGCGGUGUGUCGAUGCGCGUGUCCGCCAGCAGAGGGAGACAGGCGCGCGCUAGUGUCUGAACUCAAUCUCCAGUCAAUGUGUGUGUAUGUGUGUGUGUGUGUGUGUGUGUGUGUGUGAGUGUGUGACUGAGUGAGUGUAUGUGUGUUUGGCGCAGUCAUACAGAUGCAGCGUGUGUGUCCUGACAGCAGCAUGUGUGUGUAUGAGAGUGUGUGUUGAGCAGGUGUUUUCGCGAGGCGUCAGAGAGGGAGGGACACACACACACUCAUGAAGAGCAGCGGCACGGAGGCGGCGGGGAUCUUCGCGUUUUUUCUCCGGUUUCUGUUCUUCUUGUUCCUGAUCGCGGCGGCGGAGGGAACACUGUCUCUGCGCGUGCUGGCGGUGCUCUGCCUGCUGCUGUUCUGCUGCAUACACCUGAUACACAACCGCUGAGGAGAAGAGCAGUGUGUGUGUGUCUGAGGGAGACCGAGUGUGUGUUCGCCCGCGGAGUGUGUCUGCUGGAGCUGAGGUCCUCCUGAGCGCCGCUUGUUCAUUGAUGAGUGUGUGUGUCCGCGCCGCUCCUCCAGAUGAGCAAACACACACGCCUGUUCCUGCUCUUCUACAACGGCACUAAUGCGGAGUGAAGCCGCUUCAGCAGAGGCCAGUGUGAACGGGGCGCCGGGGGCCAGCGCGCGCAGCACUGAUCGACACUCUGAAAACCAGGACGCUGAAAAUCAGCAGCUCCAGAGGACACACACACACACUCACACACACACACUCACUUGCACACACUUACGCUCGCAAACAGAGAGAGAGGCUGCAGACCGAUUAUCAGUGUUCACAGUAGGGUAUGAAAGCGCUACAGCAUCAUGUGGUUUCUGAGAUGGAGGAGUGAGAUUUCGUCUGAGAACACACGAGGUGAGACGCACACACACACAC